CCACAACUUUACAAAAUAGCUGGUCUACUGUAAUUUUCACAUUUAAUUUAUUAAUUUUCUGUCAACUGUCAUGUGAGUGACUUAAUCUGCUAGUUUUCAGUAUUUUUCUCGAAUAUUUCUCGGUGAAGAGGUUGUACACAAGUAUAAUGAGACAGAAUCGUUAAUUAUUAUCAACAAUUAUCAAAAAUUAUUUUGAAAACUCGAUURCCAAACAUUCUGGUCCGAUGAACCGACUUCUCUAAAACUUCUUCACAGAGCUUGAAAACUAAUGCAUUAUCCUUUUGAAAUAAAGAAGCAAUUGUGAUCGCCGGGCACAGACGCUAGACCAACCCCCUAUUCUUUCAAGGUGACACCACGGUUAUCGCUGUUCCCAGACGUUAGUGAGACUGA
Long non-coding RNA from Tribolium madens (black flour beetle), 390 nucleotides. RefSeq lists it as uncharacterized. NCBI's taxonomy places the organism in Eukaryota, Metazoa, Arthropoda, Insecta, Coleoptera, Tenebrionidae. The transcript has 2 exons. The record is from RefSeq and is a predicted model, not a curated record.